Molecule: ribosomal RNA, 560 nt
Filed under: Weissella confusa
Lineage: Bacteria; Bacillati; Bacillota; Bacilli; Lactobacillales; Lactobacillaceae
Description: bacterial SSU rRNA
Rfam family: Bacterial small subunit ribosomal RNA
Source: RNAcentral
UUGUUAUUUAAAAGAUGGUUCUGCUAUCACUAAGAGAUGGUCCCGCGGUGCAUUAGCUAGUUGGUAAGGUAAUGGCUUACCAAGGCGAUGAUGCAUAGCCGAGUUGAGAGACUGAUCGGCCACAAUGGGACUGAGACACGGCCCAUACUCCUACGGGAGGCAGCAGUAGGGAAUCUUCCACAAUGGGCGAAAGCCUGAUGGAGCAACGCCGCGUGUGUGAUGAAGGGUUUCGGCUCGUAAAACACUGUUGUAAGAGAAGAAUGACAUUGAGAGUAACUGUUCAAUGUGUGACGGUAUCUUACCAGAAAGGAACGGCUAAAUACGUGCCAGCAGCCGCGGUAAUACGUAUGUUCCAAGCGUUAUCCGGAUUUAUUGGGCGUAAAGCGAGCGCAGACGGUUAUUUAAGUCUGAAGUGAAAGCCCUCAGCUCAACUGAGGAAUUGCUUUGGAAACUGGAUGACUUGAGUGCAGUAGAGGAAAGUGGAACUCCAUGUGUAGCGGUGAAAUGCGUAGAUAUAUGGAAGAACACCAGUGGCGAAGGCGGCUUUCUGGACUGUAACU